Camelus dromedarius (Arabian camel) is the source of this 1288-nucleotide long non-coding RNA. RefSeq lists it as uncharacterized. The record is from RefSeq and is a predicted model, not a curated record. The transcript has 3 exons. Lineage: Eukaryota; Metazoa; Chordata; Mammalia; Artiodactyla; Camelidae.
GGAGAGCCCAAUGAAUCAAGAAAGACUCCUUCGAGGUGGCGCAGGCUUGAAGGAUUGACAGGUUAGCUGUCGAGGUAGGGGGCGAGGUUCCGGGCAGAGGAAACCACUGGACAAGCGGAAACAGCGUGAGCAGAGGCACGGAGGCGUGAAACUGCUUGUUCUACCCUGGGAUCGCCCUCACACCCCUUUGUCUCCAGACAAGGAGGCGAAAAGGGGGAGAAAACCAGUUCGAUCUCUCACGGCAGGCCUUGGUUUGGUGACUGGAACCAGCUGCUGGAGCGACCCCAAAGCACCGAGAAUGAGAAAGAGAGGGUGGGGAAUCUAGAACCCGGAAGAAAACCCCCACCCAAGAUCCCAGAAUGCAGAGGAGUCAAGACCGAGGACCUCGAUCCUAACUUCUUCGGAAUCCAAGUCGAAAGGCCCUGGUAUUUUGCAGAACCUGGAGGACGAAAAGACGUGCAAGUGGAUGGGAGAAAAAGACGGACGAGAGCCUCAGCGUUUCACCACGACCCCCUCAGCCUUGUUCCUCUCUCUUCUCCCGCAACACCUCCUCCCCCCUAAGAGGCAGUGAUGCUACAGGAAUUCACUCUGAGGCGAGGCGCUGCCUGGGUCAAGAGGUCUCCAGAGGACAAAGAGGACUGGGCCAAAUUGAAAUCCUCUGAGAAUUCACCAAGUUUAGUUGUAACGAAACAGAAAACCUUGAGGAGACGCACGAAUGGGGAGGGAGGAGAAGCGGAUCACCUCUUUUCUUGCCAGCACCCAUUCCUGCGUACCUUUCCUCCUUUUCCAGCUGCCAAAGCAGCCGAGUGAGAAUCGGGUAUGAAGCAGAAGGAACACGACCUAGGAUCUGUAGAAGAGGUCAGUUUGGACUCUAGUCCCACCACCUUCAGAAGCCUCCUGAAAUCAGUUUAAAUAUGAGCUAGGACACUCUCACACCUGAUAACACAAGUGCUGACCAUGAAGUAAAACACUCGCAAAAAAAGGGGCAUCGCACUUUCCCAAGUUUAUACUUUUCAGUUUUUCCCCCUGUUUAAUGGACUUGAACAAAUGCGCAGCAUAACCACAUCUAGAGUGAGAAGUCAUUGGUAGGUCAGGACAGCAACUUAAAAGCUUAUUUCAAAGAUCUUUUUAAAAAAAAUAUCGAUUUGUUCUUCUUGCAAGCUAAUUUUGCCAUACCCUGUGUUAGAACUUUUAACUCAAGCUGGGGAUAAAAACUCUAACCUUGGCCUUCAGGCUCAAAGGUAAUUCAGCAAAAGUAAAAUAGAGAAGGGGGGCCCACAUCAAUGGA